UACGUAGGGGGCUAGCGUUGUCCGGAAUCAUUGGGCGUAAAGAGCGUGUAGGCGGUCCGGUAAGUCCGCUGUGAAAGUCGGGGGCUCAACCCUCGAAUGCCGGUGGAUACUGUCGGACUAGAGUACGGAAGAGGCGAGUGGAAUUCCCGGUGUAGCGGUGAAAUGCGCAGAUAUCGGGAGGACACCAAUUGCGAAGGCAGCUCGCUGGGACGUCACUGACGCUGAGACGCGAAAGCGUGGGGAGCAAACAGG
RNAcentral lists this ribosomal RNA (252 nucleotides) under uncultured bacterium. Its description in RNAcentral is "partial 16S ribosomal RNA". It matches the Rfam family "Bacterial small subunit ribosomal RNA", at positions 524 to 776 of the family's 1533-position model. The record is from RNAcentral.